Molecule: ribosomal RNA, 497 nt
Filed under: uncultured bacterium
Lineage: Bacteria
Description: partial 16S ribosomal RNA
Rfam family: Bacterial small subunit ribosomal RNA
Source: RNAcentral
GAUGAACGCUGGCGGCGUGCCUAAUACAUGCAAGUCGAGCGAACAGACGAGGAGCUUGCUCCUCUGACGUUAGCGGCGGACGGGUGAGUAACACGUGGAUAACCUACCUAUAAGACUGGGAUAACUUCGGGAAACCGGAUCUAAUACCGGAUAAUAUAUUGAACCGCAUGGUUCAAUAGUGAAAGACGGUUUUGCUGUCACUUAUAGAUGGAUCCGCGCCGCAUUAGCUAGUUGGUAAGGUAACGGCUUACCAAGGCGACGAUGCGUAGCCGACCUGAGAGGGUGAUCGGCCACACUGGAACUGAGACACGGUCCAGACUCCUACGGGAGGCAGCAGUAGGGAAUCUUCCGCAAUGGGCGAAAGCCUGACGGAGCAACGCCGCGUGAGUGAUGAAGGUCUUCGGAUCGUAAAGCUCUGUUAUUAGGGAGGAACAAAUGUGUAAGUAACUAUGCACGUCUUGACGGUACCUAAUCAGAAAGCAACGGCUAACUACGUG